CCCACAGGUCCUAGGAUCGAAACCUGGCUCUGAUACUCCCUAGGGCAAAGAUAUUUAGUGAAUUAUUUGUUGAAAUCCUUCUUGAAAUGUUUGCUAUGUACAAGAUAUUAAUUGAAAUAUUUAUAACAAGAAGUCCAUGUAGAUAUACAUAAGAUGUUUGCUCAAACGUCUCUUUGAAAUUAUAGCUUAUUUGCUUAAAUGUUUGUACAAUCUAGCAUAUCUGCAUGAGUGUAAGGUGUUUACACAAAUGUUAGUGUUAAAUCAUAUUGUUUAUUGCAUGAGAUCUUAUGUCAUUAAAUUUGCAUUUCUUAGCUGAAAUUAAAUUAUGUGCAUUUGUUUUAUGAUCUUUUACUUGUAAUAUAAAUUAUUGCUAAUAAUAUACAUUAUUAUUAUUCAAUAUAGAUGAAUUUGUAUUAUCAAACUAUAGAAAGCAAUUUUGCGAGGAAUGACAAGAUGCUCAUUGAUGAAGUAACGAAGAUCUAAUCUACGUAGAGUCUUUUAAUCCAUGAUAUCUCGCAUACGAGCAUAUUAUCACAACGGCCUUUUCAUCGGAAAAGCCAAGUUACAAAAUUUUCAAUAAAUAUGCUAAGUAUAAAGGGUUUAGCAUCGGGGGAGAUAAGAAAUUUGAGAAUUUGGGGAGGUGGAUAAUGAGAAUUUGGGAAUGGUAGAGAUCCUUUACUGUGAAACACAAAUUUUCAUAUCUAUCUUCCCUAAGCUCCAUGUUCACAUAUCCAUCGGGUCCAUGUUCACAUAUCCAUCUUUCCUAUGGUCCAUAAAAUCCAUAAUUGUAUUCUUAUGAAUACCUGCAGCUGCUAAGCUAAAAAUUUCUACUUUCUUAGUAUCAUCAAUCUUGCAAUGCAGUCUAAGAAAUGGAACUUCAGCUGUUUCAACCAAGUUGUGUUUAUCAUUAAAAUCAAGGACAAAUCAUUUUCCUAUGGUCGGAUCAAGAUAAAUCAGUUGGGUGCGACAAUUGCAUCGAGCAAGAACCCGUUCUUUUCAUCUUCUACUCAUGUACUUUCUCAUCUCGAAAAUUUUUCCUUAAGCACUGCAUUGGAUUUUAAUGAUCACAUGACUAGAUUAGAUUUUAAUGAUCACA
This 1096-nucleotide long non-coding RNA is filed under the name Phoenix dactylifera (date palm). RNAcentral describes it as "long non-coding RNA (PDAC_LNC005033)". Lineage: Eukaryota; Viridiplantae; Streptophyta; Magnoliopsida; Arecales; Arecaceae. The record is from RNAcentral.